Molecule: ribosomal RNA, 746 nt
Filed under: Peltula sp.
Lineage: Eukaryota; Fungi; Ascomycota; Lichinomycetes; Lichinales; Phylliscaceae
Description: partial large subunit ribosomal RNA
Rfam family: Eukaryotic large subunit ribosomal RNA
Source: RNAcentral
AUAGCCCGAGGCGUCACGCCGCCGCUCGGACCGAGGCCCGCGCUCCGGCAAGGAUGCUGGCGUAAUGGUCGUCAGCGACCCGUCUUGAAACACGGACCAAGGAGUCUAACAUCCACGCGAGUGUUUGGGUGUCAAACCCCGACGCGCAAUGAAAGUGAACGGAGGUGGGAGCCUGUAGGGGUGCACCAUCGACCGAUCCUGAAGUCUUCGGAUGGAUUUGAGUAUGAGCGUGGCUGUUGGGACCCGAAAGAUGGUGAUCUAUGCCUGAAUAGGGUGAAGCCAGAGGAAACUCUGGUGGAGGCUCGCAGCGGUUCUGACGUGCAAAUCGAUCGUCAAAUUUGGGUAUAGGGGCGAAAGACUAAUCGAACCAUCGCCGCUAGGUGGUCGAGAGACGGAAGCGCUGAGUUGGCCACGCCGUCUAGUCCUCCCUCGGGGGAGGGCGACACUGUCAAAGUGCGGGGACACCCUUAGAGCUCGGACCACCGCAGCCUGGCCGAAAGGUGGGCGCGCACCGGGGCACUCAGCCCGGGGAGGGUCACAGCGUCCGAGAUUGGGCGAUCCGCAGCCAAGUCCCACGGGCUUCUCAAGCGCCGGGAUCGGGUUCACAGACUAGAUGGCAGUGGGUGUGUGCCUCAAAAGGGCCGCGCCUAAGGUAUAGUCGGACCGCCGGGAGACCGGUCGAGGCAAUCCGCGGCUCACCUUUGGGUGCGCCUUGGGUGGUCCUCGAGGGUGCGGUGUGCACGGUC